Molecule: transfer RNA, 62 nt
Filed under: Pseudocuneopsis capitata
Lineage: Eukaryota; Metazoa; Mollusca; Bivalvia; Unionida; Unionidae
Description: tRNA-Trp
Source: RNAcentral
AAAGGCUUAAGUUAAUACAAACUAAAAGCCUUCAAAGCUUUAAAUGGUAAUUCCAGCCUUUA